RNAcentral lists this ribosomal RNA (220 nucleotides) under uncultured bacterium. RNAcentral's name for it is "partial 16S ribosomal RNA". It matches the Rfam family "Bacterial small subunit ribosomal RNA", at positions 524 to 741 of the family's 1533-position model. The record is from RNAcentral.
UACGUAGGGGGCAAGCGUUGUCCGGAAUUAUUGGGCGUAAAGCGCGCGCAGGCGGUCAUUUAAGUCUGGUGUUUUAAGCCCGGGGCUCAACCCCGGAUCGCACGGGAAACUGGAUGACUUGAGUGCAGAAGAGGAGAGUGGAAUUCCACGUGUAGCGGUGAAAUGCGUAGAGAUGUGGAGGAACACCAGUGGCGAAGGCGACUCUCUGGGGCUGUAAACU